GUGCUGGGGGUAGUUGUACUUGAUCCUAUGGGCUUGGGAAGGUCUUGGCAAAUGUGGAAUUUUUCUCCUUUUGCAGAGUGAGUGAUUUCAUUAACAUCCAAAACAGUGGGAGGAGAGCAAGGACAGUGAUUGCUGGAAAGGAGAUGUGACACUACAGUCAUUGAAACAGGAGCAAGGACCCACAGACAUCCACUGCAGCAAGAAUUCCUGAGUCCUCAUUGCUUCCCUGGAUGGCUUGAAAUUAAAAACAGCCCAGGGAAAGAUUUACUAGCUUGGAUCACGUCAGACCUGAACCAGCUCCUUGCCACCAAGUCCAUGGCUUUGGAGAGGUUGGAUUAUAUUUAUAUAUUUAUAUAUUUGGCAACCUUAGGAAUCCAACCCAAUGCUACUGUGGUACCUACAGCUACUCAGCAUGCAUCACCUGGAAAGGAAUAAUGUUGUUGGCAUCCACAAAGGGCUUUGGAGUUAAUUCCUUACAACACAUCAAGUUGGGCUAGAGGUACUAGCGCAAAGUGGGCACCAAAACAGAAUGCACCAGUAUAAAUUACUGCAUAGAAUGCAAAGCAAUGGGAAACCAAACUGGGAAUGCAGGCACACCUUUUCCAGUGAGCACUGUGCUGGGAAAGAGCCAGAGAUAACUCUUUCAAUAGUUUCUUCUAAUUUAAAGAUACAGCCAGGACAGCCAUUCAUGUGAAUAUUCUUCUGUUUCUCUGGACCAUCUGACAGCUUGUCCUUAUCUCUUUGAUACCUCAUUUUUGGGAUGGGAAAUACCACUUGUGGCAUCCUGUCAUAGUGAACAUAACAUAUGCAACACGAUGCUGCUUUGUUGAGUAAUUUGUCCUGGAAAAAAUUGAUUAGUGUUGUUUUAGGUCCUCUUGGAUUCAAGAGUUGCUGAAGAAGCUGACAUUUCCUUCCUGCAAGUGGCCUGGUGACAGAUAUAAUAUUUAAACCAGUCUGCGCAUGCUGUGCAAGGGCCACUGCUCUGUGACUGCUCCUGGCACACAAGAAGUGCAGUGUAGAAGGGGAACAAUGCUGGGUCACAUCCAUCAUCUCCUGGGACCAUGCACGCCACUGGAAUUGCUGUGUCACAGAAAUGCUUCAGAUGUGUUCUGGGGUCUGAAGAACAGGAUGAUAGGGAAAGAGUUAAAAGUGGGAUGCUGAGAUUUUCCUGUGAAAUCAUGGGAUGCUGGGCAAGGCAGAUAACAAGGUGAAAUCAAAAAGAUGUUGUGAUGGUUAAAAGCUCCCUUGAAUAUGGGACACUGCUGGCAGCCAUGCCAUAUUUUGCUUCUAGCAAAAAAAGUGACCUCCUGGAUACAGAAAUCAUAUCUCACAGGCUGGGGACCAGGUCCUGGAGGCAUUGUGAUGGAGGUGCCAUUAACUGAGAUGCCUCAUAGCAAUGCCUGCACCAGCUCUCAAGCUAAGUUCACAGGGGACAGAGGCCCACAUCUGACAACCUGACCUGCUGUCUAGGGACAUUUGCUGCUUGACGGGUUCUCAGAUCAGGGACUUUGUAGAGAGAUUGACGAGGCUUGUUCAGCUCUAUUUCCUUCAGCUGUUUUUCCGUGUAAGCAACAACAAUAUGGUCACGGGGACUUGGGCUUCUACAAGUACCUCAGCAAUAAAAUGAAGAAUAGAGAAAAUGGCAAAGGACACAGAAAAGGGUAAGGUACUCAAUAUUCUUCAUCUCCAUCUUUACUGGUAACAUCAGCCUGCCGAAAUACUGAGACCCUGAGAAGGGAAGGGAAGUCUGGAGCAAAGAAGACAAUGUCAGUGGAGGAAGAACAGCUAAAUCAAUCAGACACAAGUUCAUAGAGCCUGAUGGGAUGCACCCAUGAGUACUAAGGGAGCUGGCUGGUGUCAUUGUAAGGUGUCACUGUGUUUCCACCCCUGGAGAUGCUCAAACUCUGACUGCACAGCCUUGAGUGACCAGCUCUACAGGCUGCUGCUUUGACCAGGAGGGUUGGUCUUCAUGAUCUCCAAAUGUUUGUUCUAAUUUCAACUUUUUUUUUUUUUUUUUGUGAUUCUGUGUUAUGGUUAAAACCAGAAAGGACCUUGUCGCUCCUUCCUGUCCCAGCAAUCAUUAAACCAUUACAGCAGCUUGGAAUCGAGCGCACUCAGUUUUCCCUGAAGUCUACAAGUCCUGGCUUCUCUAUAGCACCUCAGUUGUCUCCUCCUAUGAGGAAUCCUAAGAAAGAAGAGUUUCAGUUCCUGGCUGCUGCAUUUGGAAAAAAA
Molecule: non-coding RNA, 2232 nt
Organism: Anas platyrhynchos (mallard)
Lineage: Eukaryota; Metazoa; Chordata; Aves; Anseriformes; Anatidae
Source: RefSeq, a predicted model, not a curated record